RNAcentral lists this ribosomal RNA (451 nucleotides) under uncultured bacterium. Its description in RNAcentral is "bacterial SSU rRNA". It matches the Rfam family "Bacterial small subunit ribosomal RNA", at positions 8 to 507 of the family's 1533-position model. The record is from RNAcentral.
AGAGUUUGAUCAUGGCUCAGAAUGAACGCUGGCGGCAGGCCUAACACAUGCAAGUCGAACGGAUCCUUCGGGAUUAGUGGCGGACGGGUGAGUAACGCGUGGGAACAUACCCAAAGGUACGGAAUAGCCUCGGGAAACUGGGAGUAAUACCGUAUGUGGUCGAGAGACGAAAGAUUUAUCGCCUUUGGAUUGGCCCGCGUUGGAUUAGGUAGUUGGUGGGGUAAUGGCCUACCAAGCCGACGAUCCAUAGCUGGUUUGAGAGGAUGAUCAGCCACACUGGGACUGAGACACGGCCCAGACUCCUACGGGAGGCAGCAGUGGGAAUCUUAGACAAUGGGGAAACCCUGAUCUAGCCAUGCCGCGUGAUCGAUGAAGGCCUUAGGGUUGUAAAGAUCUUUCAGAUGGGAAGAUAAUGACGGUACCAUCAGAAGAAGCCCCGGCUAACUCCGUG